AGAGUUUGAUCCUGGCUCAGAUUGAACGCUGGCGGCAUGCCUUACACAUGCAAGUCGAACGGCAGCGCGGGGCAACCUGGCGGCGAGUGGCGAACGGGUGAGUAAUAUAUCGGAACGUACCCUGGAGUGGGGGAUAACGUAGCGAAAGUUACGCUAAUACCGCAUACGAUCUAAGGAUGAAAGUGGGGGAUCGCAAGACCUCAUGCUCCUGGAGCGGCCGAUAUCUGAUUAGCUAGUUGGCGGGGUAAAAGCCCACCAAGGCAACGAUCAGUAGCUGGUCUGAGAGGACGACCAGCCACACUGGAACUGAGACACGGUCCAGACUCCUACGGGAGGCAGCAGUGGGGAAUUUUGGACAAUGGGCGCAAGCCUGAUCCAGCAAUGCCGCGUGAGUGAAGAAGGCCUUCGGG
Molecule: ribosomal RNA, 410 nt
Filed under: uncultured bacterium
Lineage: Bacteria
Description: bacterial SSU rRNA
Rfam family: Bacterial small subunit ribosomal RNA
Source: RNAcentral